GUACACAAAAAUGCACAUAUUGUGAGCUCGAUGAGUAGGGCGGGACACGUGGUAUCCUGUCUGAAUAUGGGGGGACCAUCCUCCAAGGCUAAAUACUCCUGACUGACCGAUAGUGAACCAGUACCGUGAGGGAAAGGCGAAAAGAACCCCGGCGAGGGGAGUGAAAAAGAACCUGAAACCGUGUACGUACAAGCAGUGGGAGCCUCUUUAUGGGGUGACUGCGUACCUUUUGUAUAAUGGGUCAGCGACUUAUAUUCUGUAGCAAGGUUAACCGAAUAGGGGAGCCGAAGGGAAACCGAGUCUUAACUGGGCGUUAAGUUGCAGGGUAUAGACCCGAAACCCGGUGAUCUAGCCAUGGGCAGGUUGAAGGUUGGGUAACACUAACUGGAGGACCGAACCGACUAAUGUUGAAAAAUUAGCGGAUGACUUGUGGCUGGGGGUGAAAGGCCAAUCAAACCGGGAGAUAGCUGGUUCUCCCCGAAAGCUAUUUAGGUAGCGCCUCGUGAAUUCAUCUCCGGGGGUAGAGCACUGUUUCGGCAAGGGGGUCAUCCCGACUUACCAACCCGAUGCAAACUGCGAAUACCGGAGAAUGUUAUCACGGGAGACACACGGCGGGUGCUAACGUCCGUCGUGAAGAGGGAAACAACCCAGACCGCCAGCUAAGGUCCCAAAGUCAUGGUUAAGUGGGAAACGAUGUGGGAAGGCCCAGACAGCCAGGAUGUUGGCUUAGAAGCAGCCAUCAUUUAAAGAAAGCGUAAUAGCUCACUGGUCGAGUCGGCCUGCGCGGAAGAUGUAACGGGGCUAAACCAUGCACCGAAGCUGCGGCAGCGACACUAUGUGUUGUUGGGUAGGGGAGCGUUCUGUAAGCCUGUGAAGGUGGCCUGUGAGGGUUGCUGGAGGUAUCAGAAGUGCGAAUGCUGACAUAAGUAACGAUAAAGCGGGUGAAAAGCCCGCUCGCCGGAAGACCAAGGGUUCCUGUCCAACGUUAAUCGGGGCAGGGUGAGUCGACCCCUAAGGCGAGGCCGAAAGGCGUAGUCGAUGGGAAACAGGUUAAUAUUCCUGUACUUGGUGUUACUGCGAAGGGGGGACGGAGAAGGCUAUGUUGGCCGGGCGACGGUUGUCCCGGUUUAAGCGUGUAGGCUGGUUUUCCAGGCAAAUCCGGAAAACCAAGGCUGAGGCGUGAUGACGAGGCACUACGGUGCUGAAGCGACAAAUGCCCUGCUUCCAGGAAAAGCCUCUAAGCAUCAGGUAACAUCAAAUCGUACCCCAAACCGACACAGGUGGUCAGGUAGAGAAUACCAAGGCGCUUGAGAGAACUCGGGUGAAGGAACUAGGCAAAAUGGUGCCGUAACUUCGGGAGAAGGCACGCUGAUAUGUAGGUGAAGCGACUUGCUCGUGGAGCUGAAAUCAGUCGAAGAUACCAGCUGGCUGCAACUGUUUAUUAAAAACACAGCACUGUGCAAACACGAAAGUGGACGUAUACGGUGUGACGCCUGCCCGGUGCCGGAAGGUUAAUUGAUGGGGUUAGCGGUAACGCGAAGCUCUUGAUCGAAGCCCCGGUAAACGGCGGCCGUAACUAUAACGGUCCUAAGGUAGCGAAAUUCCUUGUCGGGUAAGUUCCGACCUGCACGAAUGGCGUAAUGAUGGCCAGGCUGUCUCCACCCGAGACUCAGUGAAAUUGAACUCGCUGUGAAGAUGCAGUGUACCCGCGGCAAGACGGAAAGACCCCGUGAACCUUUACUAUAGCUUGACACUGAACAUUGAGCCUUGAUGUGUAGGAUAGGUGGGAGGCUUUGAAGUGUGGACGCCAGUCUGCAUGGAGCCGACCUUGAAAUACCACCCUUUAAUGUUUGAUGUUCUAACGUUGGCCCGUAAUCCGGGUUGCGGACAGUGUCUGGUGGGUAGUUUGACUGGGGCGGUCUCCUCCUAAAGAGUAACGGAGGAGCACGAAGGUUGGCUAAUCCUGGUCGGACAUCAGGAGGUUAGUGCAAUGGCAUAAGCCAGCUUGACUGCGAGCGUGACGGCGCGAGCAGGUGCGAAAGCAGGUCAUAGUGAUCCGGUGGUUCUGAAUGGAAGGGCCAUCGCUCAACGGAUAAAAGGUACUCCGGGGAUAACAGGCUGAUACCGCCCAAGAGUUCAUAUCGACGGCGGUGUUUGGCACCUCGAUGUCGGCUCAUCACAUCCUGGGGCUGAAGUAGGUCCCAAGGGUAUGGCUGUUCGCCAUUUAAAGUGGUACGCGAGCUGGGUUUAGAACGUCGUGAGACAGUUCGGUCCCUAUCUGCCGUGGGCGCUGGAGAACUGAGGGGGGCUGCUCCUAGUACGAGAGGACCGGAGUGGACGCAUCACUGGUGUUCGGGUUGUCAUGCCAAUGGCACUGCCCGGUAGCUAAAUGCGGAAGAGAUAAGUGCUGAAAGCAUCUAAGCACGAAACUUGCCCCGAGAUGAGUUCUCCCUGAGACUUAGAGUCUCCUGAAGGAACGUUGAAGACGACGACGUUGAUAGGCCGGGUGUGUAAGCGCAGCGAUGCGUUGAGCUAACCGGUACUAAUGAACCGUGAG
Molecule: ribosomal RNA, 2557 nt
Filed under: Escherichia coli
Lineage: Bacteria; Pseudomonadati; Pseudomonadota; Gammaproteobacteria; Enterobacterales; Enterobacteriaceae
Description: partial 23S ribosomal RNA
Rfam family: Bacterial large subunit ribosomal RNA
Source: RNAcentral